AUUGAACGCUGGCGGCAGGCCUAACACAUGCAAGUCGAGCGGAUGAAGGGAGCUUGCUCCUGGAUUCAGCGGCGGACGGGUGAGUAAUGCCUAGGAAUCUGCCUGGUAGUGGGGGAUAACGUCCGGAAACGGGCGCUAAUACCGCAUACGUCCUGAGGGAGAAAGUGGGGGAUCUUCGGACCUCACGCUAUCAGAUGAGCCUAGGUCGGAUUAGCUAGUUGGUGGGGUAAAGGCCUACCAAGGCGACGAUCCGUAACUGGUCUGAGAGGAUGAUCAGUCACACUGGAACUGAGACACGGUCCAGACUCCUACGGGAGGCAGCGGUGGGGAAUAUUGGACGAUGGGCGAAAUCCUGCUCCAGCCAUGCCGCGUGUGUGAAGAAGGUCUUCGGAUUGGAAAGCACUUUAAGGUGGGAGGAAGGGCAGUAAGUUAAGACCUUGCUGUUUUGACGGUACCAGCAGAAUAAGCACCGGCUAACUUCGUG
RNAcentral lists this ribosomal RNA (484 nucleotides) under uncultured bacterium. RNAcentral's name for it is "partial 16S ribosomal RNA". It matches the Rfam family "Bacterial small subunit ribosomal RNA", at positions 30 to 507 of the family's 1533-position model. The record is from RNAcentral.